GACGAACGCUGGCGGCGUGCUUAACACAUGCAAGUCGAACGGAAAGGCCCUGCUUUUGUGGGGUGCUCGAGUGGCGAACGGGUGAGUAACACGUGAGUAACCUGCCCUUGACUUUGGGAUAACUUCAGGAAACUGGGGCUAAUACCGGAUAGGAGCUCCUGCUGCAUGGUGGGGGUUGGAAAGUUUCGGCGGUUGGGGAUGGACUCGCGGCUUAUCAGCUUGUUGGUGGGGUAGUGGCUUACCAAGGCUUUGACGGGUAGCCGGCCUGAGAGGGUGACCGGCCACAUUGGGCCUGAGAUACGGCCCAGACUCCUACGGGAGGCAGCAGUGGGGAAUAUUGCACAAUGGGCGGAAGCCUGAUGCGGCAACGCCGCGUGCGGAAUGACGGCCUUCGGGUUGUAAACCGCUUUCGCAUGUGACGAGGCGUGCGUGACGGUAAUGGGUAAAGAAGCACCGGCUAACUACGUG
This 468-nucleotide ribosomal RNA is filed under the name uncultured bacterium. RNAcentral's name for it is "partial 16S ribosomal RNA". It matches the Rfam family "Bacterial small subunit ribosomal RNA", at positions 28 to 507 of the family's 1533-position model. The record is from RNAcentral.